UAGGGAAUCUUCGGCAAUGGACGGAAGUCUGACCGAGCAACGCCGCGUGAGUGAAGAAGGUUUUCGGACCGUAAAGCUCUGUUGUAAGAGAAGAACGAGUGUGAGAGUGGAAAGUUCACACUGUGACGGUAUCUUACCAGAAAGGGACGGCUAACUACGUGCCAGCAGCCGCGGUAAUACGUAGGUCCCGAGCGUUGUCCGGAUUUAUUGGGCGUAAAGCGAGCGCAGGCGGUUAGAUAAGUCUGAAGUUAAAGGCUGUGGCUUAACCAUAGUAGGCUUUGGAAACUGUUUAACUUGAGUGCAAGAGGGGAGAGUGGAAUUCCAUGUGUAGCGGUGAAAUGCGUAGAUAUAUGGAGGAACACCGGUGGCGAAAGCGGCUCUCUGGCUUGUAACUGACGCUGAGGCUCGAAAGCGUGGGGAGCAAACAGGAUUAGAUACCCUGGUAGUCCACGCUGUAAACGAUGAGUGCUAGGUGUUAGACCCUUUCCGGGGUUUAGUGCCGUAGCUAACGCAUUAAGCACUCCGCCUGGGGAGUACGACCGCAAGGUU
This 549-nucleotide ribosomal RNA is filed under the name uncultured bacterium. Its description in RNAcentral is "bacterial SSU rRNA". It matches the Rfam family "Bacterial small subunit ribosomal RNA", at positions 355 to 895 of the family's 1533-position model. The record is from RNAcentral.